RNAcentral lists this ribosomal RNA (406 nucleotides) under uncultured bacterium. RNAcentral describes it as "partial 16S ribosomal RNA". It matches the Rfam family "Bacterial small subunit ribosomal RNA", at positions 30 to 526 of the family's 1533-position model. The record is from RNAcentral.
AUUGAACGCUGGCGGCAGGCCUAACACAUGCAAGUCGAACGAGUGGCGGACGGGUGAGUAAUGUCUGGGAAACUGCCUGAUGGAGGGGGAUAACUACUGGAAACGGUAGCUAAUACCGCAUACCAUCAGAUGUGCCCACAUGGGAUUAGCUAGUUGGUGGGGUAACGGCUCACCAAGGCGACGAUCCCUAGCUGGUCUGAGAGGAUGACCAGCCAAACUGGAACUGGGACACGGUCCAGAGGCCUACGGGAGGCAGGAGUGGGGAAUAAUGGACAAUGGGCGCAAGCCUGAUGCAGACAUGCAGCGUGUAUGAAGACGGCCUUCGGGUUGUAAAGUACUUUCAGCGGGGAGGCGUUACCCGCAGAAGAAGCACCGGCUGACUCCGUGCCAGCAGCCGCGGUAAUUC